RNAcentral lists this microRNA (22 nucleotides) under Heliconius melpomene (postman butterfly). Its description in RNAcentral is "Hme-Mir-76_5p* (star (passenger))". The record is from RNAcentral. Lineage: Eukaryota; Metazoa; Arthropoda; Insecta; Lepidoptera; Nymphalidae.
CGGGUUUCGAGACGAUGAAACC